GGCAUCUUGUUAAAAUGCAGAUUAUGAUUCAGUAGUUCUGGGGUGAGGCCUGAAAGUCUGCAUUUCUAACAAGUUC
RNAcentral lists this microRNA precursor (76 nucleotides) under Choloepus hoffmanni (Hoffmann's two-fingered sloth). RNAcentral describes it as "miRNA (ENSCHOG00000015762.1)". Lineage: Eukaryota; Metazoa; Chordata; Mammalia; Pilosa; Megalonychidae. The record is from RNAcentral.